AUUGAACGCUGGCGGCAUGCUUUACACAUGCAAGUCGAACGGCAGCGCGGGCUUCGGCCUGGCGGCGAGUGGCGAACGGGUGAGUAAUGCAUCGGAACGUGCCCAGUAGUGGGGGAUAGCCCGGCGAAAGCCGGAUUAAUACCGCAUACGACCUGAGGGUGAAAGCGGGGGACCGAAAGGCCUCGCGCUAUUGGAGCGGCCGAUGUCGGAUUAGCUAGUUGGUGGGGUAAAGGCUUACCAAGGCGACGAUCCGUAGCUGGUCUGAGAGGACGACCAGCCACACUGGGACUGAGACACGGCCCAGACUCCUACGGGAGGCAGCAGUGGGGAAUUUUGGACAAUGGGGGCAACCCUGAUCCAGCCAUGCCGCGUGAGGGAAGAAGGCCUUCGGGUUGUAAACCGCUUUUGUUCGGGAAGAAAUACUCUGGGCUAAUACCCCGGGGGGAUGACGGUACCGGAAGAAUAAGCACCGGCUAACUACGUG
This 484-nucleotide ribosomal RNA is filed under the name uncultured bacterium. Its description in RNAcentral is "partial 16S ribosomal RNA". It matches the Rfam family "Bacterial small subunit ribosomal RNA", at positions 29 to 507 of the family's 1533-position model. The record is from RNAcentral.